Molecule: long non-coding RNA, 692 nt
Organism: Camarhynchus parvulus
Lineage: Eukaryota; Metazoa; Chordata; Aves; Passeriformes; Thraupidae
Exons: 3
Source: RefSeq, a predicted model, not a curated record
UGUGUGUGGGGGUGUGGCCGCCGGCUUUCCCGCGCAAACGCUCCCCCCUGACGCCCCCCCCUCACACCGCCCUCAGCCAGCGCCGCCGCCGCGGGGGCUUCGCCCGCUGCCCGCCGAGGGGCGGUUGUGGCGGCGGCCGCACGGCCCCGGAACGGGAAGCGCUGCGGGGGCCGAGCGGAGGCAGCGAGCGAGGAAGAACCGCCCCCUCCCCCCAUACACCGCUUAGCCGGGGCCGGCCCCGCGCGCGCCGCCGUUACCGCCUCGCGCCCCCCCCUCCCUUUAUGGCCGCCCCUCACCCGCCCCCCUCACGCCCUUUCCCCUCACGGCCUCGGCCAUGGCCGGGCCCUCCCGGAGAACGGCAACGGCGCCGGGAAGAGGAGGAGGAAGAGGAGGAGGAGGAGUCGCACGGGUUGAAGAGCUCGAGCUCCAAGAGACGCAAUAAGCGAUUGUGCUUUGAGUCUUGGCAGCGCCAAAUCCGUGAGCAGAGGCUGGUGCAAACAGGAGAGUGCAGGGCUACACCUCUUUGACUCCUCUCAGGUUAUGUGAAUUGUGGUUCGCACCAUCUCAUGAAGAAAGAGGGCCUGAGCUCAGGACCUGCGUUUUCCUGUGACCUUGGGUAAAGCAGUUCCCUUUACACAGCUGUAUUUUGACUGUUGUUAAAAUGGAAAUAAAGAUACCUUUUCUCUUUUCAA